RNAcentral lists this long non-coding RNA (1007 nucleotides) under Salmo salar (Atlantic salmon). Its description in RNAcentral is "lncRNA (ENSSSAG00000082714.1)". The record is from RNAcentral. Lineage: Eukaryota; Metazoa; Chordata; Actinopteri; Salmoniformes; Salmonidae.
AUAACACGUCUGAUAUGAGAGAUGGGAGGACAUUUAUAACACGUCUGAUAUGAGAGAUGGGAGGACAUUUAUAACACGUCUGAUAUGAGAGAUGGGAGGACAUUUAUAACACGUCUGAUAUGAGAGAUGGGAGGACAUUUAUAUCACACGUCUGAUAUGAGAGAUGAGAGGACAUUUAUAACAUGUCUGAUAUGAGAGAUGGGAGGACAUUUAUAACAAGUCUGAUAUGAGAGAUGGGAGGACAUUUAUAUCACACGUCUGAUAUGAGAGAUGGGAGGACAUUUAUAACACGUCUGAUAUGAGAGAUGGUAGGACAUUUAUAUCACGUCUGAUAUGAGAGAUGGGAGGACAUUUAUAACACGUCUGAUAUGAGAGAUGGGAGGACAUUUAUAACACGUCUGAUAUGAGAGAUGGGAGGACAUUUAUAUCACGUCUGAUAUGAGAGAUGGGAGGACAUUUAUGUCACGUCUGAUAUGAGAGAUGGUAGGACAUUUAUAACACGUCUGAUAUGAGAGAUGGGAGGACAUUUAUAACACACGUCUGAUAUGAGAGAUGGGAGGACAUUUAUAACACGUCUGAUAUGAGAGAUGGGAGGACAUUUAUAACACGUCUGAUAUGAGAGAUGGGAGGACAUUUAUAUCACGUCUGAUAUGAGAGAUGGGAGGACAUUUAUAUCACGUCGGAUAUAAGAGAUGGGAGGACAUUUAUAACACGUCUGAUAUGAGAGAUGGGAGGACAUUUAUAACACGUCUGAUAUGAGAGAUGGGAGGACAUUUAUAACACGUCUGAUAUGAGAGAUGGGAGGACAUUUAUAACACGUCUGAUAUGAGAGAUGGGAGGACAUUUAUAACACACGUCUGAUAUGAGAGAUGGGAGGACAUUUAUAUCACGUCUGAUAUGAGAGAUGGGAGGACAUUUAUAACACGUCUGAUAUGAGAGAUGGGAGGACAUUUAUAACACGUCUGAUAUGAGAGAUGGGAGGACAUUUAUAUCACGUCUGAUAUGAG